AAUAUUGGACAAUGGGGGCAACCCUGAUCCAGCCAUGCCGCGUGUGUGAAGAAGGUCCUCGGAUUGUAAAGCACUUUAAGUUGGGAGGAAGGGCCUUAGGUUAAUACCCUGAAGUUUUGACGUUACCAACAGAAUAAGCACCGGCCAACUCUGUGCCAUCAGCCUCGGUAAUAAAGAGUGUGCAAGCUUUAAUCGGAAUUACUUGCCGUAAAGCGCGCGUAGGUGGUUCAGUAAGAUGGGUGUGAAAUCCCCGGGCUUAACCUGGGAACUGCUUUCAUAACUGCUGAGCUAGAGUACGGUAGAGGGUAGUGGAAUUUCCUGUGUAGCGGUGAAAUGCGUAGAUAUAGGAAGGAACACCAGUGGCGAAGGCGACUACCUGGACUGAUACUGACACUGAGGUGCGAAAGCGUGGGGAGCAAACA
Molecule: ribosomal RNA, 422 nt
Filed under: uncultured bacterium
Lineage: Bacteria
Description: partial 16S ribosomal RNA
Rfam family: Bacterial small subunit ribosomal RNA
Source: RNAcentral